CAAGGCGACGAUCCCUAGCUGGUCUGAGAGGAUGACCAGCCACACUGGAACUGAGACACGGUCCAGACUCCUACGGGAGGCAGCAGUGGGGAAUAUUGCACAAUGGGCGCAAGCCUGAUGCAGCCAUGCCGCGUGUAUGAAGAAGGCCUUCGGGUUGUAAAGUACUUUCAGCGGGGAGGAAGGUGUUGUGGUUAAUAACCGCAGCAAUUGACGUUACCCGCAGAAGAAGCACCGGCUAACUCCGUGCCAGCAGCCGCGGUAAUACGGAGGGUGCAAGCGUUAAUCGGAAUUACUGGGCGUAAAGCGCACGCAGGCGGUCUGUCAAGUCGGAUGUGAAAUCCCCGGGCUCAACCUGGGAACUGCAUUCGAAACUGGCAGGCUUGAGUCUUGUAGAGGGGGGUAGAAUUCCAGGUGUAGCGGUGAAAUGCGUAGAGAUCUGGAGGAAUACCGGUGGCGAAGGCGGCCCCCUGGACAAAGACUGACGCUCAGGUGCGAAAGCGUGGGGAGCAAACAGGAUU
Molecule: ribosomal RNA, 518 nt
Filed under: Salmonella enterica
Lineage: Bacteria; Pseudomonadati; Pseudomonadota; Gammaproteobacteria; Enterobacterales; Enterobacteriaceae
Also listed under: 2 other names
Description: bacterial SSU rRNA
Rfam family: Bacterial small subunit ribosomal RNA
Source: RNAcentral